Molecule: ribosomal RNA, 1399 nt
Filed under: bacterium NLAE-zl-C193
Lineage: Bacteria
Description: 16S ribosomal RNA
Rfam family: Bacterial small subunit ribosomal RNA
Source: RNAcentral
CAUGCAGGUCGAGGGGCAGCAUUUUAGUUUGCUUGCAAACUAAAGAUGGCGACCGGCGCACGGGCUGAGCUAACACGCUAUCCAACCUGCCGAUAACUCGGGGAUAGCCUUUCGAAAGAAAGAUUAAUAUCCGAUAGUAUAUUAAAACCGCAUGGUUUUACUAUUAAAGAAUUUCGGUUAUCGAUGGGGAUGCGUUCCAUUAGUUUGUUGGCGGGGUAACGGCCCACCAAGACUACGAUGGAUAGGGGUUCUGAGAGGAAGGUCCCCCACAUUGGAACUGAGACACGGUCCAAACUCAUACGGGAGGCAGCAGUGAGGAAUAUUGGUCAAUGGACGAGAGUCUGAACCAGCCAAGUAGCGUGAAGGAUGACUGCCCUAUGGGUUGUAAACUUCUUUUAUAUGGGAAUAAAGUAUUCCACGUGUGGGAUUUUUGUAUGUACCAUAUGAAUAAGGAUCGGCUAACUCCGUGCCAGCAGCCGCGGUAAUACGGAGGAUCCGAGCGUUAUCCCGGAUUUAUUGGGUUUAAAGGGAGCGUAGGUGGAUUGUUAAGUCAGUUGUGAAAGUUUGCGGCUCAACCGUAAAAUUGCAGUUGAAACUGGCAGUCUUGAGUACAGUAGAGGUGGGCGGAAUUCGUGGUGUAGCGGUGAAAUGCUUAGAUAUCACGAAGAACUCCGAUUGCGAAGGCAGCUCACUAGACUGCAACUGACACUGAUGCUCGAAAGUGUGGGUAUCAAACAGGAUUAGAUACCCUGGUAGUCCACACAGUAAACGAUGAAUACUCGCUGUUUGCGAUAUACAGUAAGCGGCCAAGCGAAAGCAUUAAGUAUUCCACCUGGGGAGUACGCCGGCAACGGUGAAACUCAAAGGAAUUGACGGGGGGCCCGCACAAGCGGAGGAACAUGUGGUUUAAUUCGAUGAUACGCGAGGAACCUUACCCGGGCUUAAAUUGCAUUUGAAUAAUCUGGGAAACAGGUUAGCCCCAANGGCAAAUGUGAAGGUGCUGCAUGGUUGUCGUCACCUCGUGCCGUGAGGUGUCGGCUUAAGUGCCAUAACGAGCGCAACCCUUAUCUUUAGUUACUAACAGGUCAUGCUGAGGACUCUAGAGAGACUGCCGUCGUAAGAUGUGAGGAAGGUGGGGAUGACGUCAAAUCAGCACGGCCCUUACGUCCGGGGCUACACACGUGUUACAAUGGGGGGUACAGAAGGCAGCUACCUGGCGACAGGAUGCUAAUCCCAAAAACCUCUCUCAGUUCGGAUCGAAGUCUGCAACCCGACUUCGUGAAGCUGGAUUCGCUAGUAAUCGCGNAUCAGCCAUGGCGCGGUGAAUACGUUCCCGGGCCUUGUNCNAAAGGGCCCGUCAAGCCAUGAAAGCCGGGGGUACCUGAAGUACGUACCGCAA